This 73-nucleotide transfer RNA is filed under the name Chitinophagaceae bacterium. RNAcentral describes it as "tRNA-Thr". It matches the Rfam family "tRNA". Rfam says of the family: Transfer RNA (tRNA) molecules are approximately 80 nucleotides in length. Their secondary structure includes four short double-helical elements and three loops (D, anti-codon, and T loops). Further hydrogen bonds mediate the characteristic L-shaped molecular structure. tRNAs have two regions of fundamental functional importance: the anti-codon, which is responsible for specific mRNA codon recognition, and the 3' end, to which the tRNAs corresponding amino acid is attached (by aminoacyl-tRNA synthetases). tRNAs cope with the degeneracy of the genetic code in two manners: having more than one tRNA (with a specific anti-codon) for a particular amino acid; and 'wobble' base-pairing, i.e. permitting non-standard base-pairing at the 3rd anti-codon position. Lineage: Bacteria; Pseudomonadati; Bacteroidota; Chitinophagia; Chitinophagales; Chitinophagaceae. RNAcentral also lists the same sequence under 13 other names. The record is from RNAcentral.
GCCAGAGUAGCUCAGCUGGUAGAGCAGCUGAUUUGUAAUCAGCUGGUCGGGGGUUCGAGUCCCUUCUCUGGCU